CGUAGGUGGCAAGCGUUGUCCGGAUUUACUGGGCGUAAAGGAUGCGUAGGUGGAUAUUUAAGUGGGAUGUGAAAUACCCGGGCUCAACUCGGGUGCUGCAUUCCAAACUGGAUAUCUAGAGUGCAGGAGAGGUAAGUGGAAUUCCUAGUGUAGCGGUGAAAUGCGUAGAGAUUAGGGAGAACACCAGUGGCGAAGGCGACUUACUGGACUGUAACUGACACUGAGGCAUGAAAGCGUGGGGAGCAAACAGGAUUAGAUACCCUGGUAGUCCACGCCGUAAACGAUGGGUACUAGGUGUGGGAGGUAUCGACCCCUUCCGUGCCGCCGUUAACACAAUAAGUACCCCGUCUGGGGAGUACGGUCGCAAGAUUA
RNAcentral lists this ribosomal RNA (372 nucleotides) under uncultured organism. RNAcentral's name for it is "bacterial SSU rRNA". It matches the Rfam family "Bacterial small subunit ribosomal RNA", at positions 526 to 896 of the family's 1533-position model. The record is from RNAcentral.